Molecule: long non-coding RNA, 1271 nt
Filed under: Strigops habroptila (Kakapo)
Lineage: Eukaryota; Metazoa; Chordata; Aves; Psittaciformes; Psittacidae
Description: lncRNA (ENSSHBG00005020202.1)
Source: RNAcentral
CCCAUGAGAGUCACUUUAUUGUGAAAUUAAUAUCAUAAGGUAAUUUACAUUUCACAUAGUUCAGCUCUUGAAAGAAAUGUACAAACCAUGUUUCAUUAGUAUAAGGGACCACAUGAGCUACAAACUGAGGGCAAGACUGGCCAACUGGUUGAGGGGUGCUCAGCUUGUAAAAUGUGAGUGAAGAGUCUUUCAGUAUUCAUGUUAUCCUGAGUACUGUUUCAGUUCAAGAACCACAACACAUAAAACACUUCAUUACUUUUAUCUAGUGUAUUGUACACCUGUAGGGGUUUUUUGUUUACCUGAGGUUUCUGUUAUUUAGGUUGUAAAAGGAUCAGCAUCUUGUAAACAACAAGGUUGGAUUAUGGGAUUGAUAGAUGACAGUAGUCUGACCUUCCUCCCAAACAGGCUGUUAAAAUCUAUAUAUAAGGGGGCUAGGUUCUGAUAGGCAGAGAUCUCAUAGCUUCAAAGUUUUGGGAAAUUAAUAAUCUUUUCAACUUAGAAUUGUUUCAAAGCAACUGGAAUACAGAGAGGAAACUCCAUGGAGGCAUCUUUUGCUUUGAGCUUUUUAUACCAUUUGCUUAUGUACUUUGGAUGUGUUCACUUCAAAAUCACAGAGUACUUACUCCCAGUUAUUGCAUUUAACAUAUGAUGGGCAAAAAUCUUUUCUUAUGCUCCAAGUGCUGUGUAAGUGCAGGGUUUAUUUCACCUAUUUCCACAUGUCGUCUUGUCUGAUCAUCCCUGUGAAUCUUCUACAUAGCACAUUUAAAAGGUAACUCACUCAGGUGUCAACAAAGGGCUGGGAAAAUUCCUGUUAUCAAAUGGCAAGGCUGCAGAUGACCAUAAAAAGUCAGAAUCUUUCCACUAAAAGCAGCAGCAUCAAUCUUCCUUAUACUUUUGGGUGUUAACUUUUGGGGCAAAGAAGCUUUGCAUUUAGAAACACGUAACAUCAGCUCUGAGAAAGUUCACUGUAAUUUGCUAAAAUGAAGUAUAAAAGAAAAACUUAAUUCCAUUGUUUCAUUUAAUUUUAACAUUAAUUUCUGUGUUUCAGCAAAUGGGACUAAUUACUUUAAUCAGCAUUAAACUAUGAUUUCCAAAACCCUGAGAAGGUGGAAGGAAGGAAGUAAUAUUGAGGGAUGUUUUCAUGGAUCUUUGUUCCAAAAUACAAAUAUUACAUACUAAGCAUGGUCACAGUACAAACUGCAUCUCUGCCAUUGCCUCACUAAAUGAGGCAAUCUCUCUCUCUCUCUCAACACCCUCAUCUGCAAAAUUGU